Molecule: ribosomal RNA, 253 nt
Filed under: uncultured bacterium
Lineage: Bacteria
Description: partial 16S ribosomal RNA
Rfam family: Bacterial small subunit ribosomal RNA
Source: RNAcentral
UACAGAGGGGGCAAGCGUUGUUCGGAAUUACUGGGCGUAAAGGGCUCGUAGGCGGCCGGCUAAGUCCGACGUGAAAUCCCCAGGCUUAACCUGGGAACUGCGUCGGAUACUGGCGGGCUUGAAUCCGGGAGAGGGAUGCGGAAUUCCAGGUGUAGCGGUGAAAUGCGUAGAUAUCGGGAGGAACACCAGUGGCGAAGGCGAGUCUCUGGGAUGAUGCUGACGCUGAGGCGCGAAAGCCAGGGGAGCAAACGGG